UCGCACGUACGACUGUAUCUCAUCAGAACCAAAAACUAAAGCUCUCGAUGCAGGUCUCUAAUUCCCUCUCCAUGUUCUUUGCCUUUUGAGAACUUGGAUGCGAAAGGGACGAUGAUGUUUGGCUCUCCUUGACAGGGAAAGGAUCAUGCCUUAUGCAUGAGACCACCAAAAUUGUGAUUACAGCUCCAAAGGAUCCAAUCAUUUGAGACUUGAGAGAUGCAAGUUGUUAGAGAAGGAGAA
Molecule: long non-coding RNA, 240 nt
Filed under: Eucalyptus grandis
Lineage: Eukaryota; Viridiplantae; Streptophyta; Magnoliopsida; Myrtales; Myrtaceae
Description: long non-coding RNA (EGRA_LNC005668)
Source: RNAcentral